Molecule: long non-coding RNA, 498 nt
Organism: Psammomys obesus (fat sand rat)
Lineage: Eukaryota; Metazoa; Chordata; Mammalia; Rodentia; Muridae
Exons: 3
Source: RefSeq, a predicted model, not a curated record
AAAGCGUUUGCGGAGACUUCAAGAAAAGAAAAAGAAAAAAAUGUCAUUAGAAGAGGCGUAACACGUCAGUCCGUCCCCAGGUUUGUGUUUCCUGGAGUGGCCGAAAAGAGAUCAGUUCUAACCUGCUCCGCAGGAAUAACGGUCCUGCCUCCCGACACUCUUGGCGAGGUUUUGUUCAGUUUGCUCCGGGAGCUGUUUCUUCGCCUCCACCUUUUUCUCCCCCACACUUCGCGGCUUCUUCAUGCUUUUUCUUCUCACCAUUUCUGGCCAAAACUACAAACAAGACUUCGCAGAUCGAGCCUGCGUGCUGCCGGAGCAGGGCGCCGAGUCCAUGCGAACUGCCAUCUGAUCCGCUCUUAUCAAUGAAGCAGCCGAUCAUGGCGGAUGGCCCCCGGUGCAAGAGGCGCAAACAAGCCAAUCCCAGGAGGAAAAACGGUAAGAAGAGGCCCGAACCAAACUUUUCCGGGCCACUCCGCGCCCCGGACACCGGGCAGGGAG